AGUGAACGCUGGCGGUAGGCCUAACGCAUGCAAGUCGAACGGCAGCACAGUAAGAGCUUGCUCUUACGGGUGGCGAGUGGCGGACGGGUGAGGAAUACAUCGGAAUCUACUUUUUCGUGGGGGAUAACGUAGGGAAACUUACGCUAAUACCGCAUACGACCUACGGGUGUAAGCAUGGGAUCUUCGGACCUUGCGCGAUUGAAUGAGCCGAUGCCGGAUUAGCUAGUUGGCGGGGUAAAGGCCCACCAAGGCGACGAUCCGUAGCUGGUCUGAGAGGAUGAUCAGCCACACUGGAACUGAGACACGGUCCAGACUCCUACGGGAGGCAGCAGUGGGGAAUAUUGGACAAUGGGCGCAAGCCUGAUCCAGCCAUACCGCGUGGGUGAAGAAGGCCUUCAGGUUGUAAAGCCCUUUUGUUGGGAAAGAAAAGCAGCAGGUUAAUACCCCGCUGUUCUGACGGUACCCAAAGAAUAAGCACCGGCUAACUUCGUG
Molecule: ribosomal RNA, 492 nt
Filed under: uncultured bacterium
Lineage: Bacteria
Description: partial 16S ribosomal RNA
Rfam family: Bacterial small subunit ribosomal RNA
Source: RNAcentral